RNAcentral lists this ribosomal RNA (431 nucleotides) under uncultured soil bacterium. RNAcentral's name for it is "bacterial SSU rRNA". It matches the Rfam family "Bacterial small subunit ribosomal RNA", at positions 26 to 499 of the family's 1533-position model. The record is from RNAcentral.
AGAACGAACGCUGGCGGCAGGCUUAACACAUGCAAGUCGAACGCUCCGCAAGGAGAGUGGCAGACGGGUGAGUAACGCGUGGGAAUCUACCUAAUUCUACGGAACAACAGUUGGAAACGACUGCUAAUACCGUAUACGCCCUACGGGGGAAAGAUUUAUCGGAAUUAGAUGAGCCCGCGUAAGAUUAGCUAGUUGGUGGGUAAUGGCCUACCAAGGCGACGAUCUUUAGCUGGUCUGAGAGGAUGAUCAGCCACACUGGGACUGAGACACGGCCCAGACUCCACGGGAGCAGCAGUGGGAAUAUGGACAAGUGGGCGCAAGCCUGAUCCAGCCAUCGACCGCGUAGAGUGAUGAAGGUCCGUUAGGGUGUAAAGCUUCGUUUCGAGGUGGGAAGUAGUAAGUGACGGUACCCAGAAGAAGAACGUCCCCGG